GCCGAUGUGGCGGAAUCGGCAGACGCCACGGACUUAAAAUCCGUUGGGAGCAAUCCCGUACCGGUUCAAGUCCGGUCAUCGGCACCA
This 87-nucleotide transfer RNA is filed under the name Clostridia bacterium. Its description in RNAcentral is "tRNA-Leu". It matches the Rfam family "tRNA". From Rfam's summary of the family: Transfer RNA (tRNA) molecules are approximately 80 nucleotides in length. Their secondary structure includes four short double-helical elements and three loops (D, anti-codon, and T loops). Further hydrogen bonds mediate the characteristic L-shaped molecular structure. tRNAs have two regions of fundamental functional importance: the anti-codon, which is responsible for specific mRNA codon recognition, and the 3' end, to which the tRNAs corresponding amino acid is attached (by aminoacyl-tRNA synthetases). tRNAs cope with the degeneracy of the genetic code in two manners: having more than one tRNA (with a specific anti-codon) for a particular amino acid; and 'wobble' base-pairing, i.e. permitting non-standard base-pairing at the 3rd anti-codon position. The record is from RNAcentral. Lineage: Bacteria; Bacillati; Bacillota; Clostridia.